Molecule: long non-coding RNA, 1395 nt
Organism: Salmo salar (Atlantic salmon)
Lineage: Eukaryota; Metazoa; Chordata; Actinopteri; Salmoniformes; Salmonidae
Source: RefSeq, a predicted model, not a curated record
AUCAGCAUAAGACACUUGCUGCGCUGCUCUCACCCCGGAACAGUCAACCUGUCUCACUUGCACAGGCCAUGUCUGAGCCCCAGCAACAUGGCCACUUCCUCAAUUGAAACACCACUUUAUCCACCGACACUACACUCCCCUUUGUCCCAUGCCCUCGGAAUGCUGUUUUGGUAGUAGGGGUGGAGUUCUAUAGGGCGUACAGGUGAGAGGGAGGAGCUUGGAAACGAAAGAAGUGCCAAGAUACAGGAAAAGUAAAAGACGUAAAGAAUCCAAUCAUUCGCACAAAUGAAUCCAGAUAAGAACCAGAAUUAAGAGAGAAGUGGCCAAGAGACCAGACAAUGCCAGAGAGGAGCAGAUACCUGGAGAGGGAUGAGUAUAACGAGAUACAACAGCAGGGAGAGGGACCGCACUCAGGACAGAGGAAGCUCCUCACAUGAAGAGAGAGACCGGGAAAGGCAAAGAGAGAGAGAGUGGCAGAAGAGACAAAAUGGAUGAGAGAUACAGGGAUGAGAAGGGCUCUGGAGAUGACAGGAGGGACAGAGAGAAGGACUACUCUGACCGACAGCGGGAUAUGACACCCCGCUCUCACAAGGACCCACCACCUGACCACAGAGGCGGUAGUCAACAAGGACAACAGAGAGCCUAAGAGACCAUCUGACUGUCACAGAGUUGCUUCUACUGUUACCAUCCUGGGCAUGGGCAAUUCCACAGUAACAGAAUGAUUCAGAAACUCCGAUUUUUCACUUUAGAAUAUGUGCAAAACAAAAAACAAUCAUUGUAAAAUCAUAACAAACCAUACUGCACAACUCUAUGCACAAGGACUACUUAAUUUCCACCUUUUUUAUUAUUACAAAAACACAUUUACGGUUUGUGCUGUCGUUCUGUUACCAAACUUUGCAUCUACACUGUUCUUCAAGUAAAUGUGGUUUUGUCCAACGCAGACAUUUUUAUCUCAAUAUCAAAUUUCUGGGUAACAAUUUAGUACGUUACUGUGAUUGUUUUCAAUUCAAAUGAAAAUAGAUUAGCAAAGAGGGGAAAACUGAAAGCUUGCUGUUAUACUGUAGACAGGUUGGCUGACAUUACGGAAAUGAUACACACGCAUCGGUGUAGCCGCACGUUAUGAUUCUGAAUGGUCAGAUAGCUAGCAACAAUGACAAGAAGCUGCUUUGUGGGGAAUCGUCGGUGGCUUGUUUCAGCUAAUUGUAUCUUGUUAUUGAUACCAUGUCUUGUUUUAAGGUGUUUUGACUGAUUUUAUGUCACUGCUAAUAUGGUCAAAUUUGCUAGCUAGCUAACCAACAAAUGGAAUAAUGUAUGAGAGACAAGUGCUCCUUGUGAAAAUGUAUUUGUUUCAAACAUUUGGAGAAGAAAUAUAGUUCACAUGUUGUCAACAACCAA